CCCUGGUGGUUUAAAUGGUAAAGAAUCUGCCUGCAAUGCAGGAGACUCGGGUUUGAUCCCUGAGUCAGGAA
RNAcentral lists this transfer RNA (71 nucleotides) under Bos taurus (domestic cattle). It matches the Rfam family "tRNA". Rfam says of the family: Transfer RNA (tRNA) molecules are approximately 80 nucleotides in length. Their secondary structure includes four short double-helical elements and three loops (D, anti-codon, and T loops). RNAcentral also lists the same sequence under 2 other names. The record is from Rfam by way of RNAcentral. Lineage: Eukaryota; Metazoa; Chordata; Mammalia; Artiodactyla; Bovidae.